RNAcentral lists this ribosomal RNA (495 nucleotides) under uncultured bacterium. RNAcentral describes it as "bacterial SSU rRNA". It matches the Rfam family "Bacterial small subunit ribosomal RNA", at positions 777 to 1252 of the family's 1533-position model. The record is from RNAcentral.
ACAAUAGACUACCCGGGUAGUCCACGCCCUAAACGNUGCGAACUGGAUGUUGGGUACAUUACGGUACGUCAGGUGUCGAAGCUAACGCGUUAAGUUCGCCGCCUGGGGAGUACGGUCGCAAGACUGAAACUCAAAGGAAUUGACGGGGGCCCGCACAAGCGGUGGAGUAUGUGGUUUAAUUCGAUGCAACGCGAAGAACCUUACCUGGCCUUGACAUCUGUCGAAUCCUGCAGAGAUGGCGGGAGUGCCGCAAGGAACGACAAGACAGGUGCUGCAUGGCUGUCGUCAGCUCGUGUCGUGAGAUGUUGGGUUAAGUCCCGCAACGAGCGCACCUUCGUCCUAGUUGCCAGCACGUAAUGGUGGGAACUCGUAGGGAGACUGCCGGUGACGAAACCGGAGGAAGGGUGGGGAGUGACGUACGAGUCCUCAUCGGUCCCGUUACCGGCCGACGGGCGUACACACGUACUACAGUGGUCGGUACGAGUAGGGUUGCGA